RNAcentral lists this transfer RNA (77 nucleotides) under Candidatus Bathyarchaeota archaeon. Its description in RNAcentral is "tRNA-Lys". It matches the Rfam family "tRNA". From Rfam's summary of the family: Transfer RNA (tRNA) molecules are approximately 80 nucleotides in length. Their secondary structure includes four short double-helical elements and three loops (D, anti-codon, and T loops). Lineage: Archaea; Thermoproteati; Candidatus Bathyarchaeota. RNAcentral also lists the same sequence under 1 other name. The record is from RNAcentral.
GGGUCCGUAGCUUAGCAAGGCAGAGCACCGGGCUUUUAACCCGGGGGUCAGGGGUUCAAUUCCCCUCGGACCCGCCA